CUGUCAGCGCCUGUCAGCUCGCCGGCCGCCACCACCUCUCGCGAGAGGAGCGGCGGCGGUGGGGGAUGAGCGGGCCUUGCAGGCUCCGCGGGCUGCGGGAAUGCAAGCCGCGAGAGCGGCCGGAGGACCGGGCUGCUGCACAUGGCGGGAGAAGCGGCCGCCCGCGCCCCCUCUCGCUCCCGGCAGCUGCUUAUAGGGCUGCGCUGGCGGGGUCGGCCCGUGGGAUGGAGGCUAGGCGGCAGGGGGACUCCGAGGCCCGGCCCGGCGGCUGCAGCUCUAGUUCUGGCUCUGUUCCGCCCGGUGGCCCCUCGCCUCCUCACAGCCCUGCAAAACCCCCAGCCCCGCUUUGAGUCGCCUCGUCUUGGAUCUUUGCCGUACGCCACCUAGCGGCUCCUUAGCGUUGGCCGGGUGUAAAGCGUCCGGAUGUACGGCUUGGGCAGACAUAAACACUGCAUGAUCAACACCUGCAUAGACUAUCAGAAGCCACAAUCAGGUUGGCCUCACUCAUGCUGCGGGAGGGCCGGAGCACCAGUCCAAGUGAAACAGGUGACGAAUGGAGCCCUAACACUUCUGGCACCUUAGAAGAAGAAAGAGGGAGCUGUGUGAGAAGAGUAUGCUAAUGGGAAGAAAAUGUGGCACAGAAAAGUCCCACGACGGAAGAGUACAUCAUCAUAGUUGAAAGACAGUAGGGGCACAUGACUCUGAGGGAGAACCUCAUGGAAAUGAAAGAAAAAACCCAGGGGUAUCAUUAAUAGUAAACAAAUUUUGUGAUGUGCAUCCAUCAAAUGUGAAAUAAUGCUAAAUGCUGUCUUUGAAGAAAGCAAAGAAUUGAGGUCUCCUUGAAAAACAAGGAAAUAGAGAACCCAACAGUAAUAAGACGGGUGAGGAAAAUGCUGUCCUGUCAAAACUGAAAGGACCAAGGAAGUUCAGAAAUACUAGUGUAUGGGAAACUGGCAAGAGUCAGAGGAAAAUGGGCCAGGCCUUCGUAAAGGUCCUGGGACUUCACAUGACCUGUGAGAAGGGUGAGAGAAUCUGUAACUUUAAAGGAGAAUAAACAGAACACAUGCUCCAAAUAUGGCCAAAUAAAAUGCCAUUAAUACUAAAAAAUACACUCUGAAGAAAAAAAGAGAAAUUAAUAUUCACUUUAAACUGUAACUUAAAUUAUUUCUUGCAUACCACUGGUUAAAACAUUAACACAGUAGAGUCUGGGUGUCAUUGGUGAACAAAAGUGUAACACAUUAAAUAAAA
Long non-coding RNA from Melopsittacus undulatus (budgerigar), 1248 nucleotides. RefSeq lists it as uncharacterized. The record is from RefSeq and is a predicted model, not a curated record. The transcript has 3 exons. Lineage: Eukaryota; Metazoa; Chordata; Aves; Psittaciformes; Psittaculidae.